This 468-nucleotide ribosomal RNA is filed under the name uncultured bacterium. RNAcentral's name for it is "partial 16S ribosomal RNA". It matches the Rfam family "Bacterial small subunit ribosomal RNA", at positions 28 to 507 of the family's 1533-position model. The record is from RNAcentral.
GACGAACGCUGGCGGCGUGCUUAACACAUGCAAGUCGAACGGAAAGGCCCUGCUUUUGUGGGGUGCUCGAGUGGCGAACGGGUGAGUAACACGUGAGUAACCUGCCCUUGACUCUGGGAUAACUUCAGGAAACUGGGGCUAAUACCGGAUAGGAGCUCCUGCUGCAUGGUGGGGGUUGGAAAGUUUCGGCGGUUGGGGAUGGACUCGCGGCUUAUCAGCUUGUUGGUGGGGUAGUGGCUUACCAAGGCUUUGACGGGUAGCCGGCCUGAGAGGGUGACCGGCCACAUUGGGACUGAGAUACGGCCCAGACUCCUACGGGAGGCAGCAGUGGGGAAUAUUGCACAAUGGGCAGAAGCCUGAUGCAGCAACGCCGCGUGCGGGAUGACGGCCUUCGGGUUGUAAACCGCUUUCGCCUGUGACGAAGCGUGAGUGACGGUAAUGGGUAAAGAAGCACCGGCUAACUACGUG